Molecule: ribosomal RNA, 483 nt
Filed under: uncultured bacterium
Lineage: Bacteria
Description: bacterial SSU rRNA
Rfam family: Bacterial small subunit ribosomal RNA
Source: RNAcentral
CUACGUGCCAGCAGCCGCGGUAAUACGGAGGAUGCGAGCGUUAUCCGGAUUUAUUGGGUUUAAAGGGUGCGUAGGCGGCCUGUUAAGUCAGCGGUGAAAUCUAGGAGCUUAACUCCUAAAUUGCCAUUGAUACUGGCGGGCUUGAGUGUAGAUGAGGUAGGCGGAAUGCGUGGUGUAGCGGUGGAAUGCAUAGAUAUCACGCAGAACUCCGAUUGCGAAGGCAGCUUACUAAGGUACAACUGACGCUGAAGCACGAAAGCGUGGGUAUCAAACAGGAUUAGAUACCCUGGUAGUCCACGCAGUAAACGAUGAUAACUGGGCGUAUGCGAUAUACAGUAUGCUCCUAAGCGAAAGCGUUAAGUUAUCCACCUGGGGAGUACGCCGGCAACGGUGAAACUCAAAGGAAUUGACGGGGGCCCGCACAAGCGGAGGAACAUGUGGUUUAAUUCGAUGAUACGCGAGGAACCUUACCCGGGCUUGAAC